GGCAGCGUAGCUCAAUGGUAGAGCACAGCGUCUGUUUACACAGCGUCAUAGCGUUUGUUUACACAGCGUUGCGUGUGGGUUCGAAUCCCACCGCUGCCA
This 99-nucleotide transfer RNA is filed under the name Candidatus Bathyarchaeota archaeon. RNAcentral describes it as "tRNA-OTHER". It matches the Rfam family "tRNA". From Rfam's summary of the family: Transfer RNA (tRNA) molecules are approximately 80 nucleotides in length. Their secondary structure includes four short double-helical elements and three loops (D, anti-codon, and T loops). Further hydrogen bonds mediate the characteristic L-shaped molecular structure. tRNAs have two regions of fundamental functional importance: the anti-codon, which is responsible for specific mRNA codon recognition, and the 3' end, to which the tRNAs corresponding amino acid is attached (by aminoacyl-tRNA synthetases). tRNAs cope with the degeneracy of the genetic code in two manners: having more than one tRNA (with a specific anti-codon) for a particular amino acid; and 'wobble' base-pairing, i.e. permitting non-standard base-pairing at the 3rd anti-codon position. Lineage: Archaea; Thermoproteati; Candidatus Bathyarchaeota. The record is from RNAcentral.